RNAcentral lists this long non-coding RNA (220 nucleotides) under Homo sapiens (human). RNAcentral's name for it is "HSALNT0375869". Lineage: Eukaryota; Metazoa; Chordata; Mammalia; Primates; Hominidae. The record is from RNAcentral.
CCAAGACUGGUUUCUGUUUAUCAUGGAAAAGAGCUCAAGAGCUUGUGCAAUCAGAAAACACAAAACAUCAAUAAAUGGAGGAUGCCUGUAAGAGAAUGCAUGCCAAGGUCUGAAGGCACUUAGAGAACUAUCAGGGGCAGCAGGUCUUGGAUUCACCUGAGAAGAUUCAAGAUCUUUUGAAAAUCAGCCGAAAGAUGAGGAACCGCCUGCCACCAAGAGG